AAUCCUUAAUGUAAGGGUUUUUUUUCUCAGGCCGUGCUUAGAAGCAGUCGCGCACCUCGGAACAAAGGCCCGCCGCUAACAGCGACAAUAAAACUGAGAAGGGAGUCCGAAAUGCCACAGCUUCUCUGCGAGGCUGACGGAGUUCCCCGCAACGAUCGCUGCGAGAGGCCUCGUCCCACCCGCUCCCUGCAAACCAGACCGGCACGAAAACUGGGAGGGCAGGUUUCUUGCAGCAGGGGCUCGUCCCUCCGCCCUGCCCUGCCCUGCCCUGCCCUGCCCUGCCGCCCGGGCCUGCCGCAGCCGGCACAAGUCGGGGAGAGGCCGCCGUGGCGCCCCGCUGCCGGCUCACCCCGUUUGGCUGCUGGGCAGAAAAAGCGUCUCGAUGGCAAAAGCGGAGCUAACCGGCGGAGGGGAGCCUUGUGCUUUGUGGUGACCCCACGCAGCUGCUACACGAGCCCCUCGGGCUUCCCCCUCUGACGGGGGAGGUUUUGGCUGAUUCAGUUUUGGGCGCCACUGGCAACGGCAGCACGAUCUUGGAGAAAAAAAACCCCAUAGAAUUUAAGUUAAAGGAACAACAACAAAAGAAACGUCCGUUUCUGCUGAGUACAGUUACACCUAGUUUUACUCCUUCAGCGAUGCUCAUUUCCCAUACUUUUGGAUCUAGUCCAUUGAGCCACAGACUUGCAGGCUAAUAAUUUGACAGCUAAGGUGAAGAAAUGAAACAGGUUCAUCCAGUAGAUGCCCACAGUGUAACAAUGGCUCUACCCAGUGGUUUACAAAGGAGCACGGGGAAAGCAACACAGAGAGAUCAGUGGUGCCUGCAAGGUUAUAAUGAAUUGUUAGCAGGUGGGGGACAGCACCAGCGCUUCUGACUGCCAGUCGCCAGGAACCGUUACGACCAAGCUUCCUCUGAUCUACAAGAAGAAAAAGUAACAACUGUUUAGGGGAUGAAUGAAAUUUAUGGAACAACCAACCUUGAAAAACAUAUUCUUGCCCUCCCAUUUUAAUCCUUUUACAG
Long non-coding RNA from Gymnogyps californianus (California condor), 1018 nucleotides. RefSeq lists it as uncharacterized. The transcript is spliced from 3 exons. NCBI's taxonomy places the organism in Eukaryota, Metazoa, Chordata, Aves, Accipitriformes, Cathartidae. The record is from RefSeq and is a predicted model, not a curated record.